CUGUCUGCGGCGCAUCUGUUUGGGACCACGCACCGUGGCAGGCGUGGGAAGCCAUUGCAGAGCUCGGGUCUCUUGGGAGGCAGACAAAAUCGUACAUGGACAGUGCUGUUUCCUCCCCCUCUUCAAAUAUUGCAGCAGCAAACAUGGGCAGACAUUCCUGGGACGGCAGAGACACACGAUGGAAGAAGCUGUCUCCGAAUCAUCCUUCAUCAACUCAGAGCGCCCAUUUCAUGGAUGUGGAAACUGAGGUCCAGAGACAUCAAUGAGUGAGAAGGGACUGGAGCCUUGGCGUUUAUCUUGACUAUCCUAACUGACCGAAUUCCUCACUUGGGAUCAUUUUAUUCCUUUUUUCCCCCUGUGCCAUUCAGCACGUUCCCACUUUUCAGCCUAGGAGAGAGAAGGGGGGCCAGGCAGGCUGGGUGUAGGAACCUGCUCAGAAUAGAGUCGUUUAAUCAGCGCCUGCUUGUUUUGGCCUUGCCUGAUGGGUGGGCAGAGGAUGUGACUUCAAUACUGACCUUGGGUUCUCCUGGGCUGGGACUGGGCACUGAGGUCUCAGACAGAGCGCCAUUCCUUGGACCAGUGGUCAGGCCACAUAGAACUGUCAGGCUGAGGCUGAGUUCUAAGGAUUUUGUUGGCUGUUGAUAGCCUGGUGGUGAUGGUGGGAGACAAUUAUUUUUUAGCGGGACUGUUGAUGCGUUCCAUUUUUCGAUGCAAUUCACAGAAGGUUCCACUUUCUUUUCUGUUGAUGGUCUCAAGAAAUAGUCAUCGGCUAAUCUUUCCUGGACAUUUGCUGUAUGUUAAGUGCAUAGCCUGCCUCGUCUCAUUUAAUCCGCAUUAAAUGAAUCCACAGA
This is a long non-coding RNA of Leopardus geoffroyi (Geoffroy's cat), 851 nucleotides long. RefSeq lists it as uncharacterized. The record is from RefSeq and is a predicted model, not a curated record. The transcript has 2 exons. NCBI's taxonomy places the organism in Eukaryota, Metazoa, Chordata, Mammalia, Carnivora, Felidae.